This 233-nucleotide ribosomal RNA is filed under the name uncultured bacterium. RNAcentral describes it as "partial 16S ribosomal RNA". It matches the Rfam family "Bacterial small subunit ribosomal RNA", at positions 8 to 235 of the family's 1533-position model. The record is from RNAcentral.
AGAGUUUGAUCCUGGCUCAGAUUGAACGCUGGCGGCAGGCCUAACACAUGCAAGUCGAGCGGCAGCGGGAAAGUAGCUUGCUACUUUUGCCGGCGAGCGGCGGACGGGUGAGUAAUGCCUGGGGAUCUGCCCAGUCGAGGGGGAUAACUACUGGAAACGGUAGCUAAUACCGCAUACGCCCUACGGGGGAAAGCAGGGGACCUUCGGGCCUUGCGCGAUUGGAUGAACCCAGG